This 603-nucleotide ribosomal RNA is filed under the name Enterococcus casseliflavus. RNAcentral's name for it is "bacterial SSU rRNA". It matches the Rfam family "Bacterial small subunit ribosomal RNA", at positions 64 to 670 of the family's 1533-position model. The record is from RNAcentral. Lineage: Bacteria; Bacillati; Bacillota; Bacilli; Lactobacillales; Enterococcaceae.
GAGCUUAGCUAAACCGAAAGAAAAAGAGCGUUUAAUGGGUUAGUAACACGUGGGUAACCUGCCCAUCAGAAGGGGAUAACACUUGGAAACAGGUGCUAAUACCGUAUAACACUAUUUUCCGCAUGGAAGAAAGUUGAAAGGCGCUUUUGCGUCACUGAUGGAUGGACCCGCGGUGCAUUAGCUAGUUGGUGAGGUAACGGCUCACCAAGGCAACGAUGCAUAGCCGACCUGAGAGGGUGAUCGGCCACACUGGGACUGAUACACGGCCCAGACUCCUACGGGAGGCAGCAGUAGGGAAUCUUCGGCAAUGGACGAAAGUCUGACCGAGCAACGCCGCGUGAGUGAAGAAGGUUUUCGGAUCGUAAAACUCUGUUGUUAGAGAAGAACAAGGCUGAGAGUAUAAUGUUCAUCCCUUGACGGUAUCUAACCAGAAGCCACGGCUAACUACGUGCCAGCAGCCGCGGUAAUACGUAUGUGGAAGCGUUGUCCGGAUUUAUUGGGCGUAAGCCAGCGCAAUCCUUUCAUAUUCUGAUGGGAAGCCCCCCGCCCACCGAGGAGUUCAUUGGAACUGGACACUUGAGGCAGAAACCACAGUGGAUUCCA